This 345-nucleotide unclassified non-coding RNA is filed under the name soil metagenome. RNAcentral describes it as "partial contains 5.8S ribosomal RNA, internal transcribed spacer 2, and large subunit ribosomal RNA". The stretch from base 1 to 120 matches the Rfam family "5.8S ribosomal RNA", at positions 35 to 154 of the family's 154-position model. The record is from RNAcentral.
GAUGAAGAACGUAGCGUAAUGCGAUACGUAAUGUGAAUUGCAGAAUUCAGUGAAUCAUCGAGUCUUUGAACGCACAUUGCGCCCCCUGGUAUUCCGGGGGGCAUGCCUGUCCGAGCGUCAUUGCUGCCCUCAAGCACGGCUUGUGUGUUGGGCCUCCGUCCUCCUCCCGGGGGACGGGCCCGAAAGGCAGCGGCGGCACCGCGUCCGGUCCUCGAGCGUAUGGGGCUUCGUCACCCGCUCUUGUAGGCCCGGCCGGCGCUUGCCGACACAUCAAUCUUUUUUCCAGGUUGACCUCGGAUCAGGUAGGGAUACCCGCUGAACUUAAGCAUAUCAAUAAGCGGAGGA